GCGCCAUCGGUGCGCGUUGCGUAUGAGGCGAGAGGAGGGGGCCUUAAAGGCGCCUGAUAGGAGCGAGGCCCCGCCAUGGCUCAAUGGGUUUGCAGUUUAUUGGGCCCUCGUUCACAAGGAAGCCCGAAGACCGUGUAGGUGGAUUAAACAACAUGGAGCGUGAUGACCAUGGCAUCCUGUUGAUCUGUUGGCUCUAUAAGCAAACUGAUAUUUGUCCAAUGUAUGUGGAAGACAAGAAAUGAUAUGCCUACAGACCAGUUUUGCACCCUCUCAGGUUUAGAAGGCAAUAUAAUUAUCCCCACUAGUAAAAUUUGCACAUUGUCACUGAAGAUCAAUCGAAGAUGUAUUUGAAAUGGAAACAGCUAUCACUAGUCUCAUGCCUGAUUCAUGGUAUAUUCUGUUGUUAUCAUCUCCAUACAAACAGCAACACACAACCGUACACACAAAAUGUUCCAAUGGAUUUUGUCAUCACUACACAAUCAAAAAGUCUGCUUUGUAAACUCAUGUAGACCUUCAGACAUCAAUGCAUAUUAAAUGCAUCUUUUCCUGAAGUGUGUUGUGUGCCUUCAAGUUGACUGUUGUCUUAUGGCAAUCUCAUGACUUUCUUAGCAAAGGGUUACUUCAGAUGUGGUCUUGCCAGUUCCUUCCUUUGAAAUAUAGCCUGCAACACUUAGAAGUUGUUGGCAAUCUCCCAUACAAAUAUUAAACGUUUUAAAAAUCAUGGACUUUUAUUUCAUUAUCAGGCACAUCUUGAUCAUGUAACUUCAGGGGUUGGCUAAGGACAAGUGUACAUAUGCAUUCUUCAUCAGACAUAGGCAGAAAAGCAGACACUUCAUCCUGCUUUCAAUGGGCUUUCUGAUGGGGAAGAUGCUUCAUAUCCACACUCUUGAAAAAAAUGUAUUGUGGUUAUGAGGGGCACUUCUAACUUGUAUGUAGGAUUGUGUCCCUAAAGUUCCACUCAAGUGCUGAGAAAAUCUUCAGCAUUUUUUAUCUCCACUGAUUCCUUCCUUUAUAAAGACUAAGUUGCUAAUCUCUUGCUUUGUAAAAACAAGACUUCAAAGACUAUGAGUUUGUACAUGGUGUACUCCUAGAAAUUAGAAAAACAUUUAAGUAAGAUUUCUAACGUUUCCAUAGAUAUUGUCCACCCCAUGACAAGGGAGAAAGCAGAAUAUUUUGCAAACUGAUUAUCUGCUUAAAAAUGGAGAAAAUGUAAAAUUUGUUUUUUGUCAUAGAAUUCUUGGCAUAAAAAUUUACAUCGCCCCACUCCCAUAACACAAAUAGACAUAGAAUAAAAUGUUUAACAUAUACCUGCACCCUCCCUAAAUGUGCACAAUCCAACAAAAGUAGAAAAACACAAAUUUAAAAACUGCAAAGCAAUUUAAGAGAGAACACUUAUCUAGGUAUUUUAGGUCCUCCAGUGUGAUUCUGGAGUCAACGUCAGGCAAUAUAUUUUUGUUCCCUUAUAGGGCAACAGCUGUAGACUGUAAAUAAUCAAAUUCAUAAAUGUUUAACCUGCAAAUUUGGAAGGGUGAUAGAUCCCUUGAUGAUCAGUAUUUUUUUGCUGCCAGUAAUGCAACAGGCUUGAAGUGUAGCUUGCUACAUCACCCCCAAAGACUAUUCUAUGUAUAUGUAGUUUUCCCUUUUAUUUUCCAAAUCAGUGAAAUCUCAACUACAUCUACUGUAAUACAGGUCACCUAUCCCUUAUCCCCUCUGGGAGGUGGAGCAGGGUACAAAUAAAGAAUUAUUUUAUUGCCUCCAGAGGCAAACCAAGAAUGGGCAACUUGGAAGUCCCUAAAUAGGCUCAGAAGCGGAGUGGACAGAUCAAAAGACAACUUGGCAAGAUGGCACUACCUGGAGGAAUCAUCCACCUUGUGUGACUGUGGAGCAGAACAAACAACUCAUAUGUAUGCUUGCCCACAAUGUCCUGCCUCAUGUAACGAGUUGUUUAAAGCUACGGUUGCCUGCUUUUGGUCUAAAACUAUUUAGCUGCUUGUGAUUCCUUCAUUUCAUCACUUUUAAACUUAUUUAUUAUGCAAUGCUUUUGGCACUAAAUAAAUAAAUAUUCUUAUUAUCCAGAAUUCUAGAAUAUUCCAAAAACCUAAACUUUUGGAGCUACAGCAUGUACUUAUAGAGAGAUACAGGGCCUGUGAAAUGGAAGGAACCUAGACUUGCCAUAAUUUCAGAUUCUUCCAUCUCUCACCAGCUAAAUGAACAAAAAUAGCAGCACAGCUGUCAGAACUGGGCUGUAAGUACUGGGUUUCCAGUGACAAAAAUCUUGGGUAAGAGACCCUGACUGGGAACUGGUGAUGGAAGAAGGGAAAUGAGAAGGUGCUGACUUUUUUUGCUGCAAGGCUCUAGUUUGGGCCAAGAGAAGAUGAAUUUGGCCACUGCUUCUCCCUCCCUCUUGCUCCUCUUCUCAACCAAGAGAUGGGAGGGGGAGCCCAAACCAGGGUUUACUACCAUCUCUGCUGCUGCCCUUACACCCUUUUAUAUACUGAUACUCAUAGUAUAUUUCAAAACCUUUAAAAAAUCAACAACCCUGAAAUACAGGUUUCUUCUGGUCUCAAGCAUUAUGGAUAAGGGAUAUUAAAUCUUUAUUUUAUGUGGUCACCAUAAGUUGAUAGGCAACUUUGCAUUUGGGGAUGUGAGGUGAAGGACACUGAUCCAAAAAUGAAGACAGGAAAAAUAGGUCUUCCAGUUUGUUAUGUCAUUUUCAUGCCCCCUUUCUCACCAGAGCAGGACCUAAAGUGCUUUCUACAGAAAAUAAAUUUAAACCACCUUAACAGUAAACAUUUAAAAAUAAUAUCACAUUAAACAGUAUAAAAUCAUUUGAAAUAUAUGAAGUUUUUUUUAAAAAAAACAUUCAAUUCAAUAAAAAUUUUCCUGGUUAUGCAUUAAAACUGGCUUAAACAAAAAAGGUCAUUGCCUGCUGACAAAAGGAAAGUAGGGGGCAGGCUGGCCUCCUGUAGGGCAUGCCAAAGGGUGUAAAGCACCACUGAAAAGCCUCUCUCUCUCUGUCCUCACCAAAGGAGCCUGCAAUAGUGGUGAUACUGAGAGCAAGCCUCCUCCUGAAUAUUUUAAAGCCCUGGCAGGUUCAUAUGGGGAGAUAUAGUUUUUCAGACACUCAGAAAUGAUGUGAAAGCUUUAGGAAUGAUGAGAAACCAGUUCAAAUCAAACACUGAAUUUUCAAUUUCAGAAAUUUAUUUAAAUGACACAGCAUAAGACUUUGUAGUUAUUAGAAAUAAGAAAAAGCAUUCCACUUUGAAACAUUAUGCUACAUGUAAUUACACAGUCAUAACACUAACAUCCUUCCUCAUGUUCAGGGCCCUGUUUGUUUACUUCGUGCAUUAUAUUCCUCUGACUUUGAUUUUAAAGAAAGGGAGGUUUCAGUGUUGGCAUAACUUUUCAACUUUGUGCCAUGCUUCUAUAGCAGCAUAAGUAGCAGCACAAACUGCAAAUGGCUUUACAGAAAAUCUGAACUAGUGCUGAGAUACACAAGUACCUUGAUGCUUCAAAUUAUAUAGUUACGACUGCUGUUUUUCAUGCAGUACUUGAAACUGGGUAAGUGAAAAUUAACAGUCCCCAUGGCAGAAAACCUGAUCACUAGGAAUUUAGUUGAGCAAACAUUUUCACAGGAAAGAAUAAAACCAUUCAACUAGUCUUUCUUAUUAACAAGAAGGUGAAUAUAGUUUUCAAAUGAAUCUGUACUUGAUCAGUACCAAAAAUCAAAGAGCUGUCAGAAGCAUAAUAAUACCUGCUAUUCAAAUAGUGAUACUCAUUCUAAAGGCAAGGUCUCAAUUUAUAUUUUUCUGAACUCUCUAACGAAAUAGACUGGUUAACUUUACUUUUCUACAAAACACUUAAUAACAAGGCUGAUUCCACAGAAAAGGAUUGGAUAUCUUUCCUCAAAAUGGAAAUAAAAUGGACAGCACUCUGGCAAUGUACACAUACACACUCACUCGACUGACAUAAGACUGGGUGUACGUGGGGUAAGGGAGGCAAGGCUUGUUAGGCUUGCCUUCACAAAAGCACUAUGUCAUCAUUCCUGUUGCAGAUCUGCACUUGAUAUUACAACUGGCUCUUCCUUGAUAUCUUUACUUUCAGUGGUUCUCAUUUCAGAUAAAUUCUCCUCUGCUGGCUCCAUAUGCUGUUGUCGCUCCCUUUGGAUUUCAGCUGCUCUUUCUUCUGAACCUCCUUGGGAUGAGAAUGGCAGCUCUUCCACUAUUCCUACAGCUACUGUUCUCUCUUCUGCCUGCUGUUGGUUCUCUGCAGAUUCACCUUUAGAAAAAUCUGCAGGAGGGAAGGCUGUCUCAUCCCCUUCUGGUUUAGCAGUUUCACCAGCCUCACUGGGUUUGACCUCAUCACCAGCAUUCUGUUUUUCCUCUAUAGCUGUAUUUUCUUGAGUCCCUUCACGGUCUGCCCUCUCUACAGCUUCAGAUUCAUCAACAUCUUGGUCAAUGUUCUCAUCUGUAAAUGGGUCAUCACCCUGACAAAGAGAGGAAUCACGUUAUCAAAAUUGCAGUCAUCUAAAGUUCUCUUAGAGAACCUCAAGCCUAAAAUGCAGAAAUUUGCAACUGAGUGAUUGAAAACUAACAUCUUCAUUUGAAAGCAGAUUAGCACAAAUCACUGCCCUGUUUAUCAAGGUAAUGGACUAAAUUUUUGCUGAAAUUCUUUACUUAAGGCUACCACUAUCUUCAGUCUAUGAAUGUGGCAUUAUCUGAAAUAUGCUGAAGCUUCAGCCUCAAAAGAACAGGUUAAAAUUGGCAGAAGUAGUUCUAGUGUAGUAAAUGAAGUGAAUACAAAUACAGUACCCAUGAUCUUGGACAUUUGUUCAUUUCUCUAUUUACAUUUUGGGCACCUAGCACAAAACACUAUGUUUAGUAAAUGCCCAGUAAUCUCAGAAACUCUCAAUUAUUCUAUUUUAGUCCAGGGUCGUAUGGCUAUAAAUCAAUGAUGGCUACUCACACAUUUCAGUAAUCUUGUUGGGCAGAACACUUUCCAUGUCUGAUCACAGCACAUUAGGAAAUUCUCUUGGAAAUUCCUCAUACAGAAGUCAUACUAAUCUUCUUCAGACUGAAAUUAGAGCUUACAGUCACCCAACAUGGAGGCAAUGCUCUACUCUAACUUUGUUCAACAUUCUCUUCUUUACUAAAGAAAACAUUGUAUGGAAACAGUAGACAUACACUAGUGUUGUUCUACUGGAUGUCAAAAUCACUACGUAGCACGUAGUAUCAUAACAGGCUUAAAAACAUUUCCUCCCUUCUUGCAAAUCACUCUUAUGUGACUGACCUAAAGCAGCUAUAUAGAAGGGAAGACAGCAUUCCGGAGUAGAAAUCUAGUCCAUAAUCUGAUCAAAUUAAAAUUACACUUUCUAAACUCACAUACAUAUCAAGUACAGUAGUUCAAAUGUCCUGCUUUUUCUGCUAUCUCUAUGGAGCCCCACCCACGUAAACUGGGUUUAGCAACUCAGCUAGGGAUUUCUGCACCCAAGAACUGAGUAUUUCUGUUUUAUGACCCAGGUGGGUCAAAUGCAAACCAGGCUGUCUCCAUAAAAGAAGAACCAUGCAGGUAAGAGACAAGUAGUGUCCCCUUCUCUGGCUGAAAUCAACCAGUCAGCCUGAUUUACUGAUUUAUGGAGUUUCACAGAGCUCUAGGCUCUACCUUGUGAUUAGGUCAGUGUUCAAGAAUCAUCUCUUGAUUUGAACAGUCUUGCCCUGCCUUCAGCCUUCCUUUCAUGGGUAAGGCGAUGAGAAGAGUUUUGUUGGGGGCAGCUCUGCCAUUACCUGGAAUCCUCAGAUUUCCUUCACCCCUUUCAGCUUGGUUUUGCACCUGGGUAUGGUACGGAGACUGUGCUGGGUGGGUCGAAGAUCUCCUCCGGCUGAUUGACAAAGGUCAGGUGUCCAUGUGGAUUCUGUUAGACCUGUUGGCAGCCUUUGAUACUGUUGAUCAUGAGGUGUUGCGGAGGCACCUGCGGACCCUAGCAGGGGUAGACGGAGUUGCGCUUGAGUGGUUCCAUUUUGUCCUCCGAGGGGUCCCAGAGGCUGGCACUGGGCAACUGCUCAUCUGCCCCAAGGGCUCUCUCAUGUGAGCAACCGCAGGGUUUAUUCUGUCACCCCUCCUGUUCAACGUGUAUGAGAGGCCGCUAAAGGAAGACAGCCUCAGCUCAUAGGCCAUCAGUGCCAACAACAGGCUGAUGUUCUCAGCUCUGUCUCUUAUUGGGCCCAGAGAGCAUAGUCUCACUUUUCACUGGCGUCGGCCUGCCGGAGACUAGUUUAUUAGCAGGUAGGCAUUCUGGAUAAAACCAAAAUAUUGCCAAAAUGGGGUAGGGGAACAUGGUAGAUGCAAGAUCUACUCCCCUAUGGCUAAUGUUUGCUAUAAGAGGGUUCUGUUAGUCUUGAGUUGCUCCCGGAUUCCCAGAGAACAGUAGCAGGCAUACUUAUUCUCUUUUCAUCUUCAUCUGGUCAGUUAUUCUGCAAUCCUACAUCUAAAAAUAGAAUUCACCUGCAACCUCAUAUAUACUACAUGAGCAAACCUUUGAUGGUCACACAGAAGUGUUCACUUGACCUCAAAUGCCAAUUUAGGAAGGCAGACUUAUCAUGUUGCCUCUUUUGAAACUUUGCUAUAUUUUCAAUUCUCAGAAGUAUAAAAUGCUAGUUUAACCUACAGAGUCAACAAGGCCCCUUGUUAUUUUAUGCACUACUUCUGACAGUUGGUAUCAGAACAAUUGAUGCCAACAGUAUCCCAGAAAUGAUCACUAGAGAAAACACAGACACUAAAAAUAAAUGUUCUCACUUUGCAAUGUUGUUUCCAGUUAGAAUGUCUCACCUGCUAAGGAAAUCAAAGCAGAAUCUCCUUUUCCACUUAGCUAAAAGCUUACCCCCACCCCACCCCCGAUCUCAUGAGCAGGGAACACAUUCAAUGCUUUAUCUUGAAAACAAUAAAUAUUUCAAACACUGAUUAAAUUGCCUUCCUUUCUCACUGAGCUAGUUUACAUUUAUCCUUUCCAGAGGAUAUUAAUUUUAUCAAUUUUCAUAUUAAUUCCAGUAGCUUUACCACAAUUUAUAAGCAGCUAAAGUUUUUAUAUACAUUCUGCUUACCAAAAAUGUGACCAUCCAACUAAUGAAAAAAAGGUGAUUUGCUCAAAGAGGUAGAAAUUAUUUUAAGCUUAGACCACUGUAUAAGAGUAAAUCAACAACAUUGCUUUACUCCAUCUUUUAUGAAAGUCCCAUGCUACACACUCAGCAAUGCCAGUGCAAUGCUCAGUCAAUGAGAAGCAGCAGGACUGAGCGGCAAAUACGCUGCUUACUUACCUUGAGAUACUUUUCUAGCAUUUUCACUAUGUGUUUGCUAUUUAGGACACUUUUAGCUACAUGGAAACUAGUCUUCUUGAAAUGUUCAGCUGCCAUCUGGAAGUAACAAGUAUAUGAGUCAUUAUACUGGUUAUGUAUACAAUAAGCACAAUACUACGUUCCUAGUUAUCUCUCUUAUGUUACAGCAUCAACUUGGUGCUCACACGCACCCAUGCAUCUCAUGAUACAUAAAUACCUAAAAGUAAAGAUGGCCUCCAUUAGAUGUACUGUCAAAGGUACUGGACUGUGCAACAAAAUAUACAAAAAAAGCCUCAUCAAAGUUUGUGGUGAGAUUUUUGCCAUGUUAUUCACAAAUUAUAUGGGUUUAUAAUCUAGAGUUUCUAUGAUAACUAGUCAUAAGACAUUCCUGAUAGAUGAAGAAGGCGUGGGAAGGAUAUUUCUGAUUAUCCUUCUUCUCUGCAAUCCCCAUAUCUCCCAAAAUUUGAUGAAAGGAACCUUCCAGAAAAACCUGAGAGGUUGCUAGAAAGAUGGAUGAAAAAAAUUAAUAAAAACAGCUCUUCCAUUGAAGGAAGGACACCUCUUGAAGCAAGCUGCGAUCACUAUAGAAUCAUAGAAUAAUAGAGUUGGAAGAGACCACAUGGGGCACCUAGUCUAACUCUACCAUGCAGGAAAAGCAAAAUCAAAGUACCCCUGAUAGAUGGUUAUCCAGCCUCUGUUUAAAAGCUUCCAAGGAAGGAGCUUCUACCAUAGAAUCAUAGAAUCAUAGAAUCAUAGAAUAGUAGAGUUGGAAGAGACCACAUGGGCCAUCUAGUCCAACCCCCUGCUAAGAAGCAGGAAAUCGCAUUCAAAGCAUACCAAACUCCAAGGCAUAGAGUUCCGCUGCUGUACAGCUCUUAUAGUCAGGAAAUUCCUCCUAAUGUUCAGGUAGAAUAUCCUUUCCUGUAAUUUGAAACUAUUGCUCUGAGUCCUAGUUUCUAGAGUAGCAGAGAACAAGCCUGCUCCUUCCUCACUGUGACAUCCUUUCUAGCUGUAAUGUCUCCUCUCAGCCUUCUCUUCUGCAGGCUAAACAUACCUAGCCCUUAAGACACUUGUCAUAGAGCAUGGUCUCCAGAUCUUUGAUCAUUUCAGUUGCCCUUCUCUGGACACCUUCCAGUUUGUCAAUAUAUCUCUUGAAUCGUGGUGCCCAGAAUUGGACACAAGUGAGAUCUAACCAAAGCUGAAUAAAGAGACACCAUUACUUCCCUCGAUCUAGACACUAUACUCCUUUUGAUGCAGUCCAAAAUCCCAUUGGCUUUUUUAACUGCUGUAUCACACACAGUUGGCUCAUAUUCAACUUGUUGUCCAUGAAGACUCCAAGAUCUUUCUCACAUGACCUGUUGUCGAGCCAGGCAUCGUCCAUGCUGUAUCUUUGCAUUUCAUUUUUUCUGCCUAAGUGUAAAACCUACAUUUAUCCUUACUGAAAUUCAUGUUGUUAAUUUUUGCCCAGCUCUCUAAUCUGUUACGGUCAUUUUGAUUCUAAUCCUGAGUAUCAGCUAUCCCUCCUAAUUUGGUGUCAUUUGCAAACUUGAUAAGCAUGCCCUUUCAACUUUGAUUCAUGUAAUUAAUAAAGAUGUUGAACAGUACUGGGCCCAGGACCAAACCCUGCGGCACUCCACUAGUCACUUCUUUCCAGGAUGAAGAGGAACCAUUGGUGAGCACCCUUUGGGUUCGGUCGCUUAAUAAAUUACAAAUCUGCCGAAUAGUAGCAUUGCCUAGCCCACAUUUGACUAGUUUGCUUGCAAGGUCAUGGGGGACCUUGUUGAAGGCCUUACUGAAAUCAAGAUAUGCAACAUCCACAGCAUUCCCUGCAUCUACCAAGCUUGUAACUCUAUAAAAAAGAGACAAGAUUAGUCUGGCAUGACCUGUUUUUGAGGAAUCCAUGUUGACUUUUAGCAAUCACAGCAUUCCUUUUGAAGUGAUUACAGACUGCCUCCUUAAUGAUCUGCUCCAGAAUCAUCCCUGGUAUUGAUGUCAAGCUGACUGGACAGUAAUUUUUUGGGUUCUCUUUUUUCCCUUCUUGAAGAUAGGGACAGCAUUUUCCCCUCCUCCAGUCUGCUGGGACUUUUGUUCUCCAAGAAUUCUCAAAGAUUAUUGCCAGUGGUUCUGUAAUUACUUCUGCUAGUUCCUUCAAUACUCUUGGAUGUAGUUCAUCUGGCCCUGGAGACUUGAAUUCAUUUAGAGUAGGCAUGUAUUCCUGGACUACUUCUUUAACUAUUUUGGGUUGCAUUUCCCCUAUUACCUCAUUCGCUUCCAUAUUGCUCAGGUUGAACACCAAUCGUCUUUCGGGAGAAGCCUGAGGCAAAGAAGGUGUUAAGCAGCUCUGCCAUUUCCCUAUCCCAUUAGUAUUUCAUCACCUUCUCCUCGUAGACGCCCCACUGUUUCAUUUUUGUUCCUUUUUCUACUGACAUAACCAAAGAACCUCUUUUUAUUGCUUUUAAUCCCUCUGGUAAGCAUAAGCUCAUUGUUAAUGUGGGAUUUGUGUAUUGGUAGUGUUUAAAUGAAAUUUGUGUCUUUCCUGUAUUGCAUACUGAUUGCAUCAUCCAGAGUGUAUUAUAGUCUGGAAAGAGUUAAUUACUAAGAAGCUGUGAUGACCUUGAUGUGUGGCUGGAACUGGGGAGUGUCCAGACACAAGUGUGUGUGCAUUGCUGAUUGCAUCAGUUCUGUUCUGUUCUUAGUCGAGUGCUGUCUGCCUAGGUGUUGAGUCAAGUCCUGUGUUCAUCCAUUGUCUGCAAGCUUGUUUGUCUUGAUUAUUACUGAAGUCAGUAAAACUUUGUAUAUAGUUUUACCAUUGUCUCUGAUGUCUCUCGUUCUGCGUUCCACUGACUCCAUCCAACUACUGCUGCGCUGCUAAUACUCUGACAAUUUGGUUAUGGGCCCAAACUGACCAGUUCCUAGACUGGACCAGAGCACAGACUGGACCUGAUUCUGGAGUUUGGAGUGGAGAAAAAGUUGGAGCUGCGAGUGUGACCAGAGACGGGACCCGCUGUUCUGGUGAGCCUGCUUUGGUGUGUCUUCAGUGGAAGAUUGAUUCCUGGAGAAGCAGAGCUGCAAGUGGGGCGUGCUGGAGCCUGACUGAUUGAUGAUCAGAAGUGAGAAGUGUGGAGCCAUAAAUCUUGAAGCUUGAGGGGGGCUUGCCAGAAGCUACUGAAAGUGUGGAACCAUCAGUGGCUGGGCUGAAACUCGAGAGCGAGGGUCUCCAGAAGGUGAGAUAAUGGCUGCCUCAAACUCAUUAACAAUGAUUGAGAAGUUAAAUGACCAUAACUACAAAGAAUGGUCUGUGUAUAUGCAGCAUUUGCUUGUGAGAGAAAGGCUGCAGAAGACGAUCUUAGGCACAGAUCUUAGGCACUCUGACACUCAUUUUAUGCUUUAGCCUUAUGAACCUUUUCUCUACAUACGUUGGUUAUUUGUUUCAAUUCCUCUUUGUGAAUUUUCCCCUUUUCCAUUUCUUGUGCAUGUCUCUUUUAAAUCUUAUCUCCAUUAAAAGUUCUUUGGACAUUCAUUCUGGUUGUUUUACACUUCUCUUAUUUUUUCUCCUUGCUGGCACUGUUUGAAAUUGUGCCUUCAGUAUCUCACUUUUAAGAAACUCCCAUCCAACAUUAACUCCCUUCCCUUUUAGUAUUCCUGUCCAUGGAAUCACAUUCAGUAUUUUCUUAAAUUUCCUGGUCAGCUCUCGUAAAGUCUAGAAUGCAUGUUUGACUUCUCUUAGUUUCCCCCUUCCUUUGCAUCACAAACUCCAGGAGCACAUGGUCACUACUGCCCAAGGAUCCCACCACUUCCACUCCACUGACCCUAUCCUCAGUGUUGGUUAGGAUCAGAUCAAAUAUGGAGAAAGUCUUUAUAGACAUUUAACACAGGAGUGGAAAUGGAGAUAUCCCAAAACGACCAGAAAAUGUUUAGGCCUUUAUACUGACAAAGUGAACAAACCUUACUACCUGAGCUAACAAAUGUGACAGUUUCAUCUACUGUUACUUAAAUGUUUAAUAUAAAAACCCUGUUAACAUUUAAUAAAACUUCCUUUCCUGAUUACCCUUAUAUAAAUAGUUCAUAUGGUAACCAUCCACUCCCUACUGUAUAAGUGAUGAUGUUAUUGUAUAUUGCUGCUGCAGUCCCCCCCACCCAUAUCGACUGAAAGGUACUUGUUGGUUGAUUGAUUUACUGCUGUAUUAACUCUUGUUUUAUUGUCUUACUGUGUUUUAUUAUUUUUUGUAUAUUGUUCAAUGUAUUUAUGCUGUUGUUUCUGUAAAUUGUGUCAGUUGGGCCUUGCCCUGUGUGAGCCGCCCUGAGUCCCCGUGGGGAGAUGGUGGCGGGGUAUAAAUAAAGCUAUUAUUAUUAUUAUUAUUAUUAUUAUUAUUAUUAUUAUUAUUAUUAUUAUAACUUGAGGAGGGGCCAUGGUGCCCUAAAAACCAGAAUACAGAACAGUGGAUUCAAAUGCCAGGAAAAGAGAUUCCACCUAAACAUUAGGAAGAACUUCCUGAUAGUAAGAGCUGUUUGACAGUGGAAUAUGUUGCCUCCUUGGAGUGUGGGGGAGGCUCCUUCUACUUCACCACCUUUAAGCAGAGGCUGGAUGGUCAUCUGUUGGGAGUGCUUUGAUUCCAUGUUCCUACAAGGCAGAAUAGGGUUGGACUGUAUGGCCUUUGGAGUCUCUUCUAACUCUAUGAUUUUAUGAAUUUGUAUAUCCCUUUCAUUCUGUAUUGAAAAAGUACCAGUUCUAGCCCCCCCCCCCCCCCCAAUAAAGAUUAGAACCCUGAUAUCCACAUUUUGACUAUAACGACAGGGCAAAUUACAAACAUCACUGAAGCAUGAAAGCAGUAAGUAAAAAACAAUUCAUAAAUUCUAAGCAGCCAUCUUUUCUACCAAUCACUUAAGAAAAUCUUUUCCUAGCCUUUUCAGUCUGAAGGAUAACAGGAACUCUAUAGACAAACAAGUAUAGAAUCAUAAUCCAUACUCCACAGAAAAACAACCAACAUUAGUAGGCCUCAUAUUAUGAUCCCUGAUAACCUGGAAUCUGCACACAUAUUCUUUACACUAAUUAGAAUUAUUAGAUGUUCAGCACACAAAUAAACUGCUGGUCUGCACUUGCCUUAAAUGUUAUGAAAACCUCUUUUGAUUUUUUUUCUUUCAUUUUGUGGUAGGAGACAGAAUAUAUUUCUCCCCCUUGAUAUAAAUGGUUUCUUGAUGAAAGGCAUAUAACAAAUCACAAAUACUUGCUUUUCCUAUAGUGAAGUAACUUUCAAUUUGAACUACUUUACCUAAAGCAGAUAAAUAUUUUAUUAGCAACCAAGAACUAUAGAUCCCAGAAUGGGAUAUAAGUAUCAGAUAGAGAUGAUCUAUCUAAGCAUUAAUGACUAAUACUGUAAACCUAAACAACUUGUUAAGAAGUAAGCCCGAAUCAACUCAGCAGGAAUUAUUUUAGUAAACUGCUCCACAGGGCUAUACUAUAAGACUUCUCUUCUAGGGUGCUUACCCUGCGAUUUCUGUUGUGAUCAACAGACCGUAAAUGCCUCUGAAGAAGAUGUGGUUGUGCAGGAAUUAGCAUAUCACAAGCUAUGCAGUGAGCUGCUUCUAUCUUUUUAAAAAAGUGCUCCUGGUCAAUUCCUGAAAAAGUAGAGACACGAAAAUAACCCAAUUCUCACCAGUGGCCUACUUUAAUAAUUUUAAGCAGAUGAAUUAAGGAAAUGCUGGGCAUGCCAUUGAGAAAAAUCCAUCGCUUACUAGAACAUCAAAGUACCUCAAAAGCAUUGGUUCACUUCAUAAUAUGCUGGGGCAAUUUGUCCCAAAUAUAUUGAAAGUUAACAUAGUGGCAAUGUGAAUAAGCUGAAUUUCUUGUCCAGGUGUCUAUCCUUUGGAUAUAAGGAUCUCCGCCUCCAUGCAAAAGUCUUACUGCACAUCAUAAAGAAACCUUUUGACAUUAUUAACUCUUGCCUGAGCUUACCCAGUUUUCUAAAAUAAUAUCAGAUAGCAGCUAUAAAUGAAGAUACAUGUCUUUCAAAGACAAUCACAGCACAUCGCUACUUUUAUAGGACAUCUGACUUUUGCAUCAAGAGUUCAACCACAAUACCACUAAAAUGUCAGAACCUAUUUGGGAGUGGGGAAAAUAUCACAGCAAAAGGCUUUAUGAUGGAAGAAACCAUUGCUACAAUUUCCAUCUGCCUUUUUGCAGCUAUCACUCUACCUCAUAUCAACUUUAGCCACUGAACAACAAAUGAUAGUAACUAGAACAGCACUCCUGAGGGAAAUAAUCCGAUACUAGAUGAAGCUUGAGAUCUGUAUAAGUAUUAAAAAAUAUGUAAGAAAAAUAAAAAAGGUGUUGAGUAUCUUUUGGGGCAGUAGGAAAAAAGUGAUAAAAUGGCUGACUGGCACAUCCAUUAAGAAUAGCUGAUAUUACUACAGCAUUUUAGUGCAGACUCCACUUGCUUUCACUAAACUGCUUGGAUUUUCUUGGAAGUGUCAGGUCAGUCACUGCUAGAAAUGAGAUACAGCCUCGGUAGAAACUCAUCCUGAUCUGGUAGGACUCUUCUUCUGUGGAGAACAGAGGCGGAUCAAACUAGAUAAAGGGACCCUGCAAACUCUUCAAAGGAAGUUCUUAGAGCAUUUUUCUCAAUUAUGUCUUUCAAGAUCUUUUAGCAAAACCAAUCCUAAAUCCCCAGAAUAGGAAAAAAAUUGAAUUUGUAUACUAUCCUAGUUUCUUGCAUAAUCAAAAGGUAUAUUCUAAAAGUGCUAUUUUUUCCUUAAAUUUUAAAAAGACACAAUGGUUAUAAAAAUAGGACUAAAAUGAAUCUAUUUCAAAGGACUGCUUCAAAAAAUGAAAAUGUGAUAUGCUCAUGUAUGACACUCUUGGUUCAUUUAAUGAAGAUGAAGAUAAAAUAAACAAAGCUACUUGGAACUAAGAGUUAUGGGUUCAUCUUUUUUCCUCCUUCUGCCCAGCCUCUGCUGCCUUUUUUGCACAAUAGACCACUCAUCCCACUUCAUGUUGGCUUUGUCUAGAUUCUACUAAGUCAUUUAAGUGCACUUGUUUUUCUUGUCUCAGGCUGAGAUAGCGUUAUACCAACAUUAUGCCUAAUGAAAAACUAAAGAAUAUCUUAUCCCCGAACACACUUUCUAAAUGGCAGUUAAAGAAUUAAUGACAGACACCUCUAUUGAAUAAUCUUCCACUUACCUUUGAAAGGGUCUGGUUUUGGUUUGGUGCUCUCUUUCUCUGUCAGCUCUUGCCGACGCUUCCCAAUUUUCUUGUUUCUAUUAACAAUGUAUUUCUGGGAAUUGGGAUAAAUGCGUAUAUAAAUCAGUUUCAUAAACAUGAAAUAAUAAAAGGAGUUGAAGAGGAGACAUCGUAAGCAAAGCAAAAGCCUUUUUUCCACUAAAGACAAUAUCAUAGAAAUACAUAGCUUUAGACAAAUUCUUUUAUCAUCAGGCAAGUGGAGAACCGUGGAAUAUGCAACAAAUGGCUUAAUGGCAGAUUCACAGACCCCAUUUUAUAUGAAACUAUAACUACUUUUGGAAACUCUUUAGGCAACAAUAAUCUCAACUAUUCUCAAUAUGCUAUAAUGAUAAGGCCUAUUUUCCAAACGUUAACAGUUUUAAAAUGACAUACCUGCAGGAAUUCUACAGUUUUGUCAGGCAAUUUGGUCCCAAUGUAUUGCAAGACAUCUUUGUGAAAUUUGCUUUGUAAAUGCUUCUCCAUUUCUUCUUCUUCAAGACUUCGAAAUUUGCAUACAGAGCAAGCAAACUGAAUUCUAAAGGAAGGCAUUUAAAUUUAUUUGUGUUACACAAAGACCUGAAGUCAGCAUUUCUUCAUUUUACAAAAGAAAUUACUGAUAAACUCCUUACAAAAACAAUUUCUAACAUCCUGACAAAAGCAAUUAAAUUAUGGUUCCCAAAUUCUUUUUAUCACUUCCACCUAGUAUUUUGCUAUAUUUCAAAGCUAAAAUAAAAUAUAGUUUAAUCUAAACAGUGAUACAUUUGAAGAAAAGCAGAGAUACAAGUCUUACUGACCUAGUGCGUUUUCACAGCAUCAGAGUGUAUUUGUUUAUGGGUUCUCUAAAAAGGUCUUUACUUCUACUGAGAAUGAUAAACUCCUGCUGUUUUACAUUGUUUUAUAAUGCAAACAUAAUUAAAAUACACCUAUAUCUUCAUCAAAAAUCUCUGUCUAUGUAACAUAUCCAACAUUCUUUUUUGAUGUCUCCUCUAAAAAGAGAAAGAGAGAAAAUGAGAAAAUCUGAACCAGCCUCUUGUGUUUUAGGUCUGAAUCCUAUCGCUAGUCCCAACUGAAGCAGAGCCACUGAAUCCAUUAAAUUUACAAUGCAAUGUAUUAAAAUCAAGUGAUUUUAAUGUAAUAGGCCUACUGUAGUUUUACAAAGUAAAGUUCAUUCUUUAUUACUAAAAAUGUUGACGAAAAUCCUGAGGGAGUCUGGGUGGUGUAGUGGUUUGAGUGGUACAGUUCAGUUUUAAUUAAGUCUAUUUGUUAUAUUGCUCAAGCUUAUAUUUUGAUCUUAUUGCUCUUUUCAAGGAUUGUAAACUGCUUUAAAGGGCCAUCUGAGAUGUAAGAUAGUUUAUCUAAAUAUACCAAGUCUUAACUGGGCAAUUAAAAGGAACUAAAUUAAAUAAUUGACAGGGAGCAAGAUCUACAGGCCAAUUCAAGACAAUGGGGUUUAUUUUAAAAUUUCUUUAAACUAUAUAAUCUUUUCAAGCAUGCAGAUACAAACAGUUCACAAUAAAUUGUUGCCAGCUAUCUCCUGCCAACCUAGCAGUUCGAAAACAUGCCGAUGUGAGUAGAUCAAUAGGUACCGCUCCAGCGGGAAGGUAACGGCGCUCCAUGCAGUCAUGCCAGCCACAUGACCUUGGAGGUGUCUACGGACAACACCGGCUCUUCGGCUUAGAAAUGGAGAUGAGCACCAACCCCCAGAGUCAGACAUGAUUGGACUUAACGUCAGGGGAAACCUUUACCUUUUAUCAUGCAAGUUAGCAUUCUUGAUAGUAUAUUUUCCAACAACACAGGAAUGAAAUUAUUUUGUUAUCUAUAAUCUCAACCAUGACAAUCUAUUCCUCUGUAUACCCCAGUCCCAUGAUUUGUGCAAUCUCUUUUUGUGAAAUACAUUUUUGUGAAUAUUCCAAAUUCAAUGUUUUAAACGGGAAACAACCAUAACAUAAGGAGAAAACAGCUCAGGUAACUAAAGUGAAACCUGCAAAAGGCACAGCUGCUGUGUAUUCAAGAUCAGGUCUGCUAUGUCACCCAAUAUUAUUUUAAAAAACUGGAACUGGAGUUGGAUUUUUUUAAACCAACUGUUUUUGUAGAUAUAGAAAGGGUUUAAUUCAUUUAGUUACCUGUCCAUAGCACGGUCACGCAUUCUAUCCCUUUGCCUCUGUUUCUCUUUUCUUUGUUUUGACUCUUCAUCAUCACCAGUUGCUACAGAAUGUUAUUUAAGCCAGAUGUUUAUUAAUAGUUUCAUCCAACUCUUACAUAAACAAAACAAGACACAGAGAACAAGAAGGGCUAAAUGGAAGGGCUACAAAGGUGUGGGGGAGAGGAAUCAGAUGUCACCUAUGGUGAAACAGAUAUAAUGAGUGUAACGCAAAGCUAAGAAGACAGUUCUUUUAGCAUACUUCUGGGAUAGUAAUACUUUACUUUUUGAGCCAUAUCUCCUUUUGCCUUGAUCUGCAUUUUUCAGCAGCAAAUGUAGAUCUCACAUGACAACUAAAAAGCAUUUACCUUGUUAAUGCUCCAUAUAGCAAAGUUAUUUUUAAAGUUAUUUACAGUGUUUGGAAACUCACGUGUUUGCACCAUUUUGACAUAAGCAUAGCACAUAAACUGCAAGAAUAUUUGCAUAAAUGCUUACCCAAGGGAAAAAGUACUACUUGCACCAUGCAGAAUUCAACUCAGUGGAAGGACUUUUCAAUUGUGCUCAUUAAGAGGUUUUCAUCCUUCAAUCAGCCCUCAAAACCCUAUAGUAGUAUAACAGUGUUGAAUCCAAAGGCAUGAGUAGUAAAGAAUUCGGACAUAUAUACCCACUAAGUUGUAAUGUUCACUGGGUUGCCUUGGGAAAGCUAGUUUCUUUCAUGGGGUAACUGAACGCUUUAAUUGUGCUGAAGGAAUGUUUAGGAAAUACAUGACUUAUGUUUAAUAUAUAAGUUUUAACAAAAGAGAAGAUGCUGAAUGGUUUAAUCUCAAAUAUAUCAAUAAAGAAGUUGUGCCAAUCUGCAUCCUUCCACCAGAAAAAUGGUCACUGUUAGUGGGUUAAAACUGUUCUUCCCUUAUAGACCUCCAUGCCUAUCUCAACAAGAGUUAGGGAAGUUUGCGGAAUAGAUGUGGAGAGCAUAUGGAGAAGAGAAAGAGAAGAACUCCUUUUGCAUGAGUGGACCACGUCGAUAAUACUGAAUUUGGCUACAAGUGUCUACAACACAUCAAAGAAAGAGAAGCUAGUGUGCUGGUCCUUUCUGAAACUCAGAGAGUAGAAUAAAAGCACUACCAUUAUCUGAGUCAUCUCUUUCGCUUUCAGUCUUCGCCUGUUUGCGGUCUGGCUCAUCUCCACUUUGGGACUGUUUUCGCUUAUGGAAUCCACCUUCAUUAUCCGAACGUCCACCAAAGCGGCCACGGAAAACUCUCCUCUUGGGCUGGAAAAAUAAAUUGAAAUAAAUAUGUCUGGCACAUCCCUACAUCAACAUGACCUAGGAACUGCAAAAUGAAACAUAAAAGUGUAAGGCUAGAAUACCGAGGCGAUCUGGUGAAACAAAAGGCUUUGCAGCCACAACUCUGCAGAAUGGUGGAGAAGGGAGAGCCAGUCCAGUGGUGGAGAAUACACACAGAUCUAUGCCUAAGCAACUGACCAGGUGACAGUCGCAUUGACGAAAAACAACAGGAAAAACUCAGCCGCUAUCAGGACCUCAAGAUUGAACUUCAAAGACUCUGGCAGAAACCAGUGCAGGUGGUCCCGCUGGUGAUCGGCACACUGGGUGCCGUGCCAAAAGAUCUCAGCUGGCAUUUGGAAACAAUAGACAUUGACAAAAUUACAAUCUGCCAACUGCAAAAGACCACCCUGCUGGGAUCUGCGCGCAUCAUCCGAAAAUACAUCACUCUGUCCUAGACACUUGGAAAGUGUUCGACUUGUGAUUUUGUGGGACGAAAUCCAGCAUGUCUAUCUUGUUUGCUGUGUCAUACAAUAAAAUAAUAAUAAUAAAGCUUUAUUUAUAUCCUG
Anolis carolinensis (green anole) is the source of this 18535-nucleotide long non-coding RNA. RefSeq lists it as uncharacterized. The transcript has 4 exons. NCBI's taxonomy places the organism in Eukaryota, Metazoa, Chordata, Lepidosauria, Squamata, Anolidae. The record is from RefSeq and is a predicted model, not a curated record.